RNAcentral lists this long non-coding RNA (1243 nucleotides) under Zonotrichia albicollis (white-throated sparrow). Its description in RNAcentral is "lncRNA (ENSZALG00000018102.1)". The record is from RNAcentral. Lineage: Eukaryota; Metazoa; Chordata; Aves; Passeriformes; Passerellidae.
GGAAGUUUGAUCGUAAGAGGCUCCAGUGAUUUUCCUUCCCACCUCUCCCCUCCCUAAUUUCUCUGCCUCGACACUCGCUCUGGAACAGAGCGAACUCAAAAAGCCCAUCGGCGCAGGGCGCGCUUCGCAGCCAAGCCCUGCCACUCUCCAGAGACUGUGAGGUGAUUCUCCUUCGUCACUGCUUGGACCAGGAACCACAGCCCUGCAGUGGUUGGCAGUUUUCCUCAACUUUGCGAGAGAGAGAGAGAGAUUGUGUUGGAAUGAAACCUUGCUCUGCGUACAGCCUGCUUGAGAUGCAGCAUUGAAAGAUCACUCACAAUCAGUUUGUGGCCUUUCUCUGGAGGAACCUUUCCUUGUCUCUUGUGUAAGUAUUUAUAACAUUUUAUACUUUUCAUUGAUAUAAGUUGUGCCUUUUCUUCAAGUUCCGUCAAAGUCAGCCCAGGGCCUCUGUUGCUUCCCAUAGUCACAGGACUCAAUAUUUAAAAUUUUUAUUUCAAUGCAGUCCAAGAUUUUAAUGCAGUGUCACCUUAUGGGACUCAGAUUUUAGUUCAGUGACAUUGUGUGAUUGAUUUACCUGGAAUUUAUAUGUGCAUUUCUGGAUCACAAUAUGGAAGAUUGCUGUUUGUGUGUGGGGAUAUACAUGUUCUGAUGGACAUUAUGCUGUUGUGUUCUAGUUCAGAAUGAAAUAUAAAGUAUUCCAUGCUGUGCAAGUGCAAAACAAGUACAGAAAACAGUCAACUAGCAUUGCAACCUAUCCAUGCUGAAGUUUGACCCUGUGGUGAGGGACCCUUCCUUAUCCAGUCCUGGCUGCUCUCUGAGCUGCUCUUCUUAUCUGAGCAGAUUAAAUGUGUUGUAUUCUUAUUGACAUCCAGCAGUAUCAGGAUAAAAGAUCUGUCAGCGAUUUCUUGGGAAGGUGUUAUGCAGGGUUCUUUUCUUACCUAGUCACAUUUGCUUGAGUUUGGCUGCUGCUCUGUAGGUUGGUGAUUUGCUGACCUUUUUAACUGAAGAAAAUACUAUGUUUAUCCAGAUAAUUGUGUUUUCAAGACCCAGAACAGGAAGAAUUAAUUUUUUCAGGGUUUGAGUUUUGGUUUUUCCUUUUUGGGGGGAAUAAGGGAUGGAGUCUUUGGGAGUGUUUGUUUGUUAUCAUUUGAGUUUUAAUUUUGUAGGUUCUGACACACGAUGGUUUUGCGCAUUUGGAACAAAAACUCACAUUUUUCUGGAAUUCCUUCAUACAUAUUGGCAG